This 225-nucleotide unclassified non-coding RNA is filed under the name Hevea brasiliensis (rubber tree). Lineage: Eukaryota; Viridiplantae; Streptophyta; Magnoliopsida; Malpighiales; Euphorbiaceae. The record is from RNAcentral.
GUGCCAAAUGGCAGAGAGCCAGUUCAACAUGACGCCUGAUCAUUGAAGCUUCAUUAUUGGAAUUUUGAACAAUCCAUGUAAGUGCACCAUCUUCUAUCAGUGAAGAACGCCCAGCUUUCUGACCUUGAGCUGAAGCUCUGGACUCGCACUUUGCAAAAUUUGCAAUUCCCCGUGCAACUUGAGACAGAACAUCUGGAUGUCUACAUCUCACCAUCCCUAACAGUG